Brassica rapa (field mustard) is the source of this 7789-nucleotide long non-coding RNA. RefSeq lists it as uncharacterized. Lineage: Eukaryota; Viridiplantae; Streptophyta; Magnoliopsida; Brassicales; Brassicaceae. The record is from RefSeq and is a predicted model, not a curated record.
CUGAAAUUGAACCCGUCUGAUAAAGACCAGCACCGAAUAGGGUACGGCGAGUGGUUUCAUCAGCAGCAUUCCCCGCAGGGAGGAAAGUGCUCGUUGUUGCUGCAGUGGUUGACGCUGUGAUGUUUCCAGCGGUUGUCACGCCCAGUGCCGUGCGAAGGGUUUUACGGGCCUAAGGCAAGUUUUAAAAAUAAAUUUAUAUACAACUAUAAAGAAAACAAUUUUCUAAUACGAUAUAUCACCUUCGCAAAAUACAUAAGUUUAACACUUACAAGAAUAAGUUUAUUACGUAAAUAUGUUAUAUUAUGUCCUAUAAAAAAAGUAUAUAGAUUUAGAAAUUGAGUUAUUCGAUUUUCGUGAAAAGUUUUUUUUUAGAAAUAACUUUAAGCAACUAAAUUAGAAAUUAUUUUAAAUUUUGAAGCCCUAGAAAAUGUAAUAUUAUUCGGGGGCCUAAGGCGAAUGCCUUUUUCAAUACACUGUAGGCACGCCUUUGGUCACGCCAGUUGCUGCAGCGUUGAGUGGAGUCUGAAUGACAUCCGAGGUGUCCAUGGGAGUGGGGGUGUUGUUCUCGUUUGUCAUUUUCCUGUAGAGAAAACAUGAAAACGGAUUAGUACUCCAUUCAACAAUUAACAUAUUAUUUUAAAGAAAAUAAUAGUCUAAAAUCGAUCUUCAUUUUUGGUGUUUGAACCAAAUCAUAUCGAUAUAAGUCUUGAAAAACCGUUUUGCAAACUCGCUUAAAAGCGUUCGCAGAAACCAUUUUUAUAGACUGAGAAUGUUUCACAAACUCGCUUAAGAAAGCGAUCUUGAAACGAUUCAUUUAUAGAACGUUUUGAAGAUGUAUCAAAAACGUUUUGCGAAAAAAUGCUAAAAAGCAAUCCGCAAAUCGUAAUGAAAUAAAACAGAAACGUUUCGCGGAAGUACUAUAAAGCAAAUCGCAAACACGUUUUUAGAAUAACGCUGAAACGUUUCGCGGAUAAGCGUAUAGCAAAUCGCAAACAUCGUUAUGAGAUAAGAGCAAAACGUUUCGCGGAAGUGCUAUAAAGCAAAUCGCAAACACGGUUCCAAAACCCGUUCUAUUAAUCGUUUUUCAACCCGAUUCGAGCUUUAGACAUAAAGCGAUUUUGAGUUAAGAUUGUAAAUGCCAGUAAACCGGACUGAUGUAAACGAUAUAAUAAAAGCGAAGUUAAGGAAAUAGACGAAUAUAGAAAACGAAUACGAGAACAAUAAGAAAUCGUAUUCGCAACGAGACAUGGAGGCGAGAUAUGAUCUCUUUCCUUAACUCAAAAUAUUCGCUCCGUUAGUGAGACGGAACUGUACGAAUAUAGAGUCCCAGGAUACAACCAUGGCAGACGAAUCACGCCUCACUCGUGAUCGCCCUAUCGAACUAUAAACUCUACGAAACACUCUCGUUUUUAUGACUUACUCUAAGGGAAUUUUGAUGCUGGUUUCGAUGUGAAAAAUUUAAAGAAAAUGAGAAGAGGAGAGUCCGUAUUUAAAUAGAAGACUAGGAGCGGUUUUUCGAAACUGUUGCGAACGUUUUCCGAAAAUCUCGCAACGAUCUCGGAGUGGAACGUUGAGCAGCUUUCUCCGCAAGUUUCUCUCUAGUUGACUCGUAUUGAUCCAUUUCGAACAGAUAAACUUUGUGUUUUUUUUAAACGAACUACAUGUCGUUUAUACACAAAUGUCAUGCUGUUUUUUAGAAAUAAAAUGGCAAAGCGUUGAGCUUAACUUGGUCCAAAAAGAAUAAUACUUAUCGGGCCUAGUGUCCUCCAUCCAAGCCCAAGCCGGGCUCAGCCCGGCCGGCGGCGGCGGCGCGCGUGGAGAUCUUUCUUCUCUCUCCAAGCUGUUUAAGCUUUCAUGGUAAGUGAACAUAUAUAUAUUGCUCAACUUCUCUUCCUCUAAACGAUGUGGGACAAGUUCCCUUACAUCAUUUGCUUUUCACAUAUUUCAUUAAAGCCUACAGGCUAUUAAUGGAUCCAACAUGCAUACCAUGCACUAAAGGUUGGACCCUGCUCUCCCUCAAUUCUCAUGUUAGGUUAAUGAGCCAACAGUCGGUCUGAAAACACCUCAGGCAAAAAAAAAGAAGAAAAAAAAGCAAAACAAAGAUUGUUGACGAAUGUCUUCAAGGUUCGAUGAGAUUUCCCCCUGAUUUUAGAGACAAAUAACUCGAGUGUUGAGACCUUCUCGAUGGGUAUCUCCGAUCUUAUCUUUACUAAGAAGAGACGUAAAAACAGAAUCUUCUUCUCUAUUCGUUUUCGAUUAAAAAAAAUUUGUAACAAGAUCAAUUCAAAUAUAAAUACCACAAAAUGAGAUACUAACAAAGCUCUGUAACUUGUUUUUCUUUUUUCCUUCGUAUUUUUCGAAAGAAGGAUACAUAAACUGAAAAUAUAUUAUAUCCACCAAAAGCUCUGGGGAGCCGACUUCUCCCAUGCGCCCAUAUCUCUAGAGACAAUCUCCUAGAUUUGUUACACAUCUCAACUCAAAUUAAAAUCACAAAGUAAGCAAAGAAAAAAAUCAUCAAGAUUUGGGUUAUAAAGGAAGGAAAAUAGGUUGAGAGGAACUGGAAUCAUGGAAAGGAAGAGAUUAUAAAAUAGGAAGUCGGAUUCUUCCUGGAGAAGGCGCCUGAGAGAAGAGAUGUUCCACAACUGCGGCGAGCACCACCGUGUAUUCCUUCACCAUUUCGGCCAGUGCCGUCACCAGCAACAUUUUUGCUUACUUUAUUAUCUCAAUCGAAUUUUAUUUUCUUCUUUUUCGUUCUCUGUUUUUCUCUUAUUUUUACACAAUUCUCUUUAUUUAUAUAGCUGGAGAGGGGAAGUAAAACCUAGGGGUGUCUGCUACCAUAUCCGCUCUUUGUUUUCUAAUUCUUUUUAAUUUAUCACUUUAUCAAGAUUUCUAUUUGACUAGUCAGAUGUGUAAGAAUACCAAAAAAUAUUUUGAGUUAAUUUUGUAGUAAUAUUUAUGUUGAUUACUUUAGAAAAUUUUAAAUUACCAGAUGAAAAAAAUAAAAUAAAACAGUUUCAAAAUUACCACUACAAAAUUAAAUCAUUUUCGGUAAAUAAUACAAACUUGACAUUUUUACUUUCCUUUUUUUAAUUAGUUUAUAUUAUAUGGUAAUUAUUUUUCGGUAUUGUAAUAAUAAUAAGAACCAAUAGAAUGGGAAAUUAAUUGAAAAUUUUAACAGCAUUGAUUUUCUACUAAAUAUCGACAAUAAAUUUGAUUAAAAUUAUAGUAGUUGCGACAAAAGUCGUCUAGUUUGGACAAUAAAAAAAGUGUUUGAGGAGAAAAAUUGCAUUGGACAUGCACCUGGCCAUUUUUUUUCAUGAUGCAUGACACACUUCGAAACCGUGUGAUGUUUAUCCGGUCGAUAUCUAUCUUGCUUCCAUAUGGCAUGCGUCAUGUAACAGCUACGUCCCACAAUUAAAAAUAAAUUAUUUAAUUACAAAUCUAUACUAUUAAAAGAAACAUUCUGAAAAAAUCUACUUAUGAAAGGUUGUUUGACCAUUUCAUUAGAAUUAAAAAAAUUUUGGUCCUAAACUAAUUACUCUAAUUAUACAUAAUUAAUAACUUUAACAACCCGUUUAUCUUUUUGUGUUACCAUGAAAAAUUAAUAAAAUCUCCUAAUAUCGUGGGAUCACAAUCAUUUGUUGUGCAUGGAUAUUAAAGUCACUAAAAUCACAAUCAUAUGAAAGAUAAAGUAAUAUUUCAUAUUCCAUACAUCAACUAAUAAUAUCAUUAAACAUAUUGUACAAUAACAUCUUACAUUAUAUAGUUUCAAAUAUUUUCAAAAUAAAAUUUAAUAAAAACCACUUUAACAAAUCAUAUGUUAAAACAAAAUUAUAUAUAUAUAUAUAUAUAUAUAUAUAUAUAUAUAUAUUACGUUAACUUAAGUUUUAUAAUAAGCAUUAUAAUAAAAAAAAUUAUUAAGAAAAUUUUAUAACUUAUUAAUAACCUUACAAAUAUGUUCUAUUGAAUUAUUUAAAAAAAAACUACCAAGUAAACCUUAGGCCAUAUCAAUUUAACAAAUGUAACUCUUAUAAAAUACACACAAAAUAUAAUGAGAGAGUAGGUUUAAGUAUCCGGGUCAGUUCUUUUCUAUCUAGGUUUUUUCGUGUCCAAAUGUUAUUUGAAUUUUUUUUCAUGUCAGAAUUGGUAUGUAAUCAUAAUUCAAAUACAUAUUAAAUAUAUGUAAUAUUUGAAUACAUAGCAGGUCUAGGUCGGUUCAGAUAUUUAAAGUCUAAAAAGAAUAAGUACCUGAAAACCUACAUAAUGAUCUGAAACUUGAAAAAUAUUAGAAAACCUAACAAAUACUCAAAAUGUAUUAAAAUAUCCGAAAAAGAUCUAAACUUUUUCCCGAGAUAUAACCCGAGAAACUAAAAAUAUCCAAACUUUUAUCUGAAUAUCCAAAUUUUUUUUUUUUAAUUUAGAAUUUUAUCUGAAACCUGAAAGUAUAACUGAAAACUCAAACCCAAAACAAACAAAAAAAAUAUCUAUAAUACCAAAAAUAUAUUUGAAAUACUCAAUAUACUAAUAUACUCAAAACAUUUCAUGUACUUUGGGUAUCCGAGUCUUGACUAGGAUCCGUACUAAACCAAGAUAUGUUGGUCCGAAAAAAUACCCAAUAUAUACAUUUCCUUGGACCCGGUUCUCAUCAGUUUUAUUUUUGGAUUUGAAUAAAUGCCUAGACUUAAGAGAGAGAGAGUUAUAUAAAAAUGUAUAUACAAAAUCUCAAAUAAACUAAUUGAUAAGUCAUAUAAUUUUAAACUAAUUGUUCUCGAUAUAAUACGAUUUUGUAACAUAAUAAUGUACAAUAAACCCAAAAUACUAAUUCAUAUUAAACUUUAUCUAUAAUCCAAAGCCCGCGCUUUCGAAGCGCGGGUCAAAAUCUAGUUAAUCUUAAAAUGAUUGUCUAGAUUUGAUCUAUAAGAUGUAGACACUGAUUGAUUAAGAAAGAUUUAUUAUUGAUUUAAGAACGAAUUACUUACAAGGGACGCAUUAACACAUUCUCUGUUCCAAUAAUACUUCCCCACAAAAACUUGUCUUAAAUAACACUUAGAUAAUUAGAUCAACUCUAUGGCACCAUAAGACAUCUUGUAAGUAGAAAUGAAUCUAAAGCAACCAAGAAAAUUAUAUGAAUAAGGAAGAGAAAAUGUUUCAAAAAAAAGAGAGAGGGAAAUCUUUAUAUAUAAAGUACAGUUCUCUCAAUCCUGGUGCCUCCACGUCACCCGCCAGCUAGAUAAGUCGUUCUUUCUACACGCGACACGUGUCUGAAGCGCUGCGUUUCAUUAAAGCUUACCGUGAUGGGCUUUUUCUGUUUGAUGCGUGUUGGGUUCUGAGAAAGGAGGCUGCGUCCAGCCCAGAAGAGAGGUGCUUCGCGUUGUAACCCUAAUUGCUAGAUCGAGACUGCGUAUCGACUUUCCUUUCUUGCAGAGGAGAUGAAAUUCCUCAGAUUCUGAAAGCCAUAAACGUGGGGAGCUGAUGGGCUGGGUAUGCUCUUACUGGAUUCAAGGGUGAUUAUGUUCUUAAACUCAUGUUCAUGAUCCACUGCAUUGAACAUGUUCUUAAUUUCUUUAUCCACGAUCUACACUUCAAUAUGUGUUAAUCUUCUUAGAUGUGGUGUUUCUCCGAGUAUAAAAAAGUAUGCUUUGCUCCCCUCCAAACCAUCUUCUAUAUCUCUCAAACUAUACUAUCUUCAUCUUCAACAUUUGCUCGAGUGGACUAUGAUAUACAUCAACAACUUCGAGUUGAUGAGAAAUAGAGAUUAUAGGCUCAAACCGAAGCUGUCAAUCUUCUCUGCGGUGCCAAAACCCAGAUAAAGGAAUUAGAGUCUUGACUACGCCUACUCUGAUUUUGAUUUCAAGGAGUUAGAGUAAAAUUAAGAUCAGUCGGGUUCAUGAGAGGAUUAUAAAGUAAAAGGAUUUUGAUUUCAAGCAGAGUUGCGGAUCUCUGUUUAGAUCGGCAGUUGAGUUUCCGACAACUAAACAACGUAGCAGAACGAUGAACGUGUCUUCGUCUUCUUAGAACUUUCGCAUUAACUCUUGAUUGGAGUGAUUUGUGGUGUUGAUCAUGAGGAUCUAAAGAGCAUAAACAUUAUAUCUAAAUCGAAAGAGGAGCCUGGCUAAGUGUUAAUACACGCCUUUCCUCUUCCUGGACUUGGAAAAUGAUUGGAUGAUGAGGAGAAGGAAGCCAUUCUUACAGGUGUUUAGCACAGGUACUUGCAAAACUGUAACACCAAGAAUCAACAGCCAAAUGAUUAUUGUUUUCCCUGGAAGCCCAAUCAAGUAUGAAAAGAAUGCCUUGGAGGUUGUUGGGAAAAAUUCAAAAAGAAUAGUGUCGCUCUUCACAUUGUCAAUUUUUGAGUAGAUAAUGACGAGGAAAAACCUCAGAAACUGGAGCCCCUCCUUUCAGCCGUCAAUAACAACGACGGUAGCCACAUUGUUCAUAUUCCUUCUGAAGCCAAUGCUUUCUCGAUGUCCUUCUCAGAUAUUAUAAACAGAACAGUCCAGACAUUAGAUCUAGGUUGACGACAACAUUGGAUGUGAUUGUAUAUCUCUAUAUCAUUGAUACACAUUUUAUUUUCUAAAUAAUAUUGAAAUUUUUUUUGAAUUAUAAAACCACAACAAAAGCCAUAUUUUAGACUUAAAAAAAAAAGAAAAACAAAUACAGAGCUGAACUAAUAUUUAAAUUUUAAAUUAAUAAAAAUUUAUAUUAAAUAUUUAUUUUAACUAUUCGAAAUAACAUUGCGGGCCGACUCUAGUUACCUAUAAUAACAUACAUUUUGUGUGUAAUGACUAGAAUAACAUACAAAAAAAAAAAAAGUGUGUUAAAGUCCAAAAUACCCAAUCUAUUAAAUUAAUUAAGCCAAUUUAAAAAAUAAACACUCCUAAACCACUAGUAAAAAUACAGUUAUGUUGACAAAAAUAAAAUGUAAAAGCUUUAAAAAUAAAACAUAAAACCUAAUGACAACUCUCUUUCCCGUGACCCCAAGAACCCUAAAUCCCCAAAAUGGGAAAUCCUCAAACUCUUGAUUCUCUUUCUUUUUAACAUGAUUCCUCAUCGAUUCGGUCAUGUCGCCCCUAUACUCUACCAUUAAAACAUUUGAUUCACAUAGGAGAAAGUGAAUCCGAAACCCAGUCGACGAACCCUAAAUCCCCUUUCUGAAAUUCACAGUUCCGUCGAUCUCAAGCCUUUCAUCACUUAUUCUCGUUGAUUUCCAACUACUAUAAGCUCAUAUCCGCUUCAAUCAGUUUAUUUCAUCCAUUCAUGCAAUCUAAGAAGCAAUCUUCUGGAAAUAUACAAUCUAUCUUUGGACCACCAAGGAAUGGCUGGACAGUAUCAUCAUAGUUUUUUUUUUGGAAAGAGCUGCAAGUUCCAUUGAAUACUGAUGAUGUCUCUGGUAUGGUGUGUCUUGUAAAAAUGACUGCGUAGAGAAAUAUAGGAGGUUUUUUCAGACACUGGUGAGAUGGCUCCUGCAAGGCUGAGGAAAAAAAAGUUCACAUCAGCUAAAGAUUUCAAAACUCAAAAGUGUGCCUAGAAUGAGGAUCCUGGUGACUGUGGUGUUUAAAAGCCGUGAAGUAUAUUGAGUGUAAGGCGAGUGGUUGCGGUUUUGUGGACUUUCUGACCGGUGCAUCCCGACAACGCGUAUGAAGUUAGCUGCUGAGAUCUAUGAUGAGGUUGCGGAUAUGUAGUUGUAUUUCAUGUUUUAGAAACCAAACUUAUUUACUACUUUGUUGAGUUGUGAACAUAUCUUUAUUUUCUUGUCCAGUGGUUAAUGUUAAUUUACUUUGAAAGAGUC